RNAcentral lists this long non-coding RNA (199 nucleotides) under Elaeis guineensis (African oil palm). Its description in RNAcentral is "long non-coding RNA (EGUI_LNC013976)". Lineage: Eukaryota; Viridiplantae; Streptophyta; Magnoliopsida; Arecales; Arecaceae. The record is from RNAcentral.
AAGCCUAAAGACAGCAAAAAGUUGGCACGAGCAGUGUGGCUCUUUUGUGCACAAGUUUUAUACCAAUAAAUCUUAGGUGGGGCCUUUCCAUUGGGGCUGAGGACCUCUCUCGGUCCACCGCUAAUCCCCUGGCUGGUGACUUUUUGCUUGUUGUGUCGCAGCUUUUGGUCCGACCAAGGAUCCGUCCCUUUUACACCCG